CACCAAUCACGCCUGGCGUGGUAUUGGGCGACGGGGCCGUCACACGCCCCGCGCCCCAAUGACCCCGGCGGGACGGACCGAAUCUCAGCGUUGUGAUUUCUCAAGUCGCUGGCGAGACGGGACGGCCGUGCCGUUAAACAACCCCUUUGUAA
Molecule: unclassified non-coding RNA, 152 nt
Filed under: uncultured Ascomycota
Lineage: Eukaryota; Fungi; Ascomycota
Also listed under: 1 other name
Description: sequence contains ITS2
Source: RNAcentral